GACGAACCGAGCGAACGUUAUUCGGAAUCACUGGGCUUAAAGGGUGCGUAGGCGGGCGGUCAAGUCAGGGGUGAAAUCCUCCAGCUCAACUGGAGAAGUGCCUCUGAUACUGGCCGUCUCGAGGGAGGUAGGGGCGUGCGGAACUUCCGGUGGAGCGGUGAAAUGCGUAGAUAUCGGAAGGAACACCAGUGGCGAAAGCGGCGCGCUGGACCUCUUCUGACGCUGAGGCACGAAAGCCAGGGGAGCAAACGGG
Molecule: ribosomal RNA, 253 nt
Filed under: uncultured bacterium
Lineage: Bacteria
Description: partial 16S ribosomal RNA
Rfam family: Bacterial small subunit ribosomal RNA
Source: RNAcentral